Molecule: ribosomal RNA, 435 nt
Filed under: Tetracapsuloides bryosalmonae
Lineage: Eukaryota; Metazoa; Cnidaria; Myxozoa; Malacovalvulida; Saccosporidae
Description: SSU rRNA
Rfam family: Eukaryotic small subunit ribosomal RNA
Source: RNAcentral
CCUAUUCAAUUGAGUAGGAGACCGAAAUGGACGAAAUUCAGGUCCAUUCGUGAGUAACAAGCAGAGGGCAAGUCUGGUGCCAGCAGCCGCGGUAAUUCCAGCUCUGCACGCAUAUGCGAGAUUUGUUGCAUUUAAAAAGCUCGUAGUCGGACGGUUCCACAAUUUUGUCGAUUGGACACUGCAUGUGCUGCAUAAUUUUGUCUACCUAACUAAGGAGGCAACAAAAUUUUUGUUAGUUCACUACAGUGCUCUUAAUAUUGACUAGUUGUGGACAAACGCAAGCUCCUGAUCUGCCCUUAAUUGGGUGUAUCAGCUGUAAGUUUGCGGACGUACCUUGAACAAAUCGGCUUGUUCAAAGUAGGCCUAGUGCCUGGACAUUCUAGCAUGGAAUGUUCGAUCGAGACCUGAUCGUUUGGUCGGAAACGAGUAAGGUCC